This 77-nucleotide transfer RNA is filed under the name Candidatus Sumerlaeota bacterium. RNAcentral's name for it is "tRNA-Pro". It matches the Rfam family "tRNA". From Rfam's summary of the family: Transfer RNA (tRNA) molecules are approximately 80 nucleotides in length. Their secondary structure includes four short double-helical elements and three loops (D, anti-codon, and T loops). Further hydrogen bonds mediate the characteristic L-shaped molecular structure. tRNAs have two regions of fundamental functional importance: the anti-codon, which is responsible for specific mRNA codon recognition, and the 3' end, to which the tRNAs corresponding amino acid is attached (by aminoacyl-tRNA synthetases). tRNAs cope with the degeneracy of the genetic code in two manners: having more than one tRNA (with a specific anti-codon) for a particular amino acid; and 'wobble' base-pairing, i.e. permitting non-standard base-pairing at the 3rd anti-codon position. The record is from RNAcentral. Lineage: Bacteria; Candidatus Sumerlaeota.
CGGGGCGUAGCGCAGUUGGCUAGCGCGUCGGCUUUGGGAGCCGAAGGCCGUGAGUUCGAGUCUCACCGCCCCGACCA